RNAcentral lists this long non-coding RNA (4133 nucleotides) under Corvus moneduloides (New Caledonian crow). Its description in RNAcentral is "lncRNA (ENSCMUG00000017534.1)". The record is from RNAcentral. Lineage: Eukaryota; Metazoa; Chordata; Aves; Passeriformes; Corvidae.
CUGGGCUUGGUGACAGGACAACAAUUCCAGUGAGCCCUGGAGCUCCCGAGGAGCUGCCUCUGUGUCCUGUCACUGCCUGGGGCCAGCCUUAGGGAUCUCUAAGGAAGAUUGGAGAAAACCCUGCAGCAGGCAGAGGUGAGGGUCCCCUGCCUGCAGACAGGUGCUGCCCUAACUCCUAAUUGCCAAAAACUGCUUCAAGGCCUGAAGCCUGAGGUGUUUAUUCUGUCCCAAACUGCUCCUCUCGUUCAGCACAAACUGCCCUCACUCACCCUCAGCACCCAAACCAGCCUUUGGUUCCUUCCAAACCCACCCAGGGUCAGGUCCCUGCUGCCACACACACCAAGAGAAGUGAGCUGGUGUUUGGGGGAGACGCAUCCCCUUUUGCAGGCAGUGAGUGGGGACUGUCUCCAAACGUGACCCUCGAGUUUUUGAAGGAAGGCAAACCUGUGGGUGGCAGAGCAUUGCCUGGAGAAGUUCUGCUCUCUUCGGCGUUCACUCAGCCCCAGAUUCUUCCCUGCAAAUGAUGGUCAUAUGCACAUAUAUGAGACUAUUAUAUAUUUAUGGUUUUUACCAGCAUCAUUAUUAUUGUGUUCUGAACUGCCCUGGCAAUGCUACCCUAAAUCAGUGCUGAGGGAAGAUGAAAGUUCACUGCUUUCUGUGCCAAUGAAUAUGAAAAUAGGAGGGGUUCAGACUUCUCUGACAUUUUCCUUGUCUUCUGAGCAAAAAAAGUAGCAGGAAAGCAAUAAAGUAAGGCUUCCAGCCAGGACUCCAGCUGCCAGGAGAAUUAUUAGUCUUUUGCAGGCUAGGCCGAGGAAGGGCUUUUUUACAUCCCAAGCCAGGCAGGUGGGAUGAGACACUGGUGCUUAGUGGUGCAGAGCAGGGCUGCCUUUCACAGGGCAGCAAAGAGGGCAAGUCCUCAGUGAUGCCAGCCCCUCCCUGAGCCUCAUGUCAGGAAAAACAGUGCAUUUCCAUGAUUUUCCUCUCCCUUGUUGCAGAGCCUGCACUGCAAUGAGGCUGUGCAGCGCAAUCGUGACCCUGGGCCAGCAGAAAUACCGGGGUGGUUUAAUGAAGACUCCUGAGCAGGGCUUAACAACCACCACAUUAAUGCUGGCUCGGAGCCCACAGAGUGACCUCGCUGAGUUUCAUGGCACUGGUCGUGAUGGAAACAUGCAAGUCCUAUGCCAGGAAAGCCCAGGGCUUGGCUGGGAAACAGGAAAGAAGGAGCAGAGCCAUGGCUUUGUGGUCAUCCCAGCCAGUCGACAGCGGCGGUGGGCAAGUAGAGGCUCUUCAGUGGAGCCACAGGUGACUUGGGCUGAGCACAGCAAUCAAGAGCUUAUUUAUCCCAGCUUGGAGUGUCACGCUCUGGUAACCAGGCACUUCUUGUUGCUCAUCUCGAAAUCCCAAUCGAACGCCUUCAUUAUCACCCAGCAGUGUUUCCUUUGUGGAUAACAAGUCAUACUGCGAGCAUUAAUGGAGCGUCGGAUGGAUUUGUGUUGUGGGAUUGUUGUAAGCGCUGAUUGAAGUUCUGCCCGUGAUUAGGGGGCUUAGUCAGGUGUGAGAGAGGGAGUCUCUGCUGGCUCGUAAGAUCUGGGUUUGCAGUGCCUCUCCAGGGGGUGUUAUCGGGGUGUUCCUUACAAAGUCAACUUAAUGUUGAGUGCCAUGUUUUUGAGUGCCAUGCAUGAGAUCCCAAGUUCCCUUUAUCCCGUCUGGCACCCGUCACUGGCGUUGUGUCACCACCCACACAGGAAACUGUGCUCCAGACACCGCCUGGGAUUUUAGCAGCUGCCUGGAGGGGUUGAGCAGAGCAUCGUCCUCCCUGUGGGGUGUGGACCUCGUUCUGCAGAGAUGGACACAGAGGAGGGGGAAAGGUCUGAACUCAGCUUUUCACCCGCUCAAGAACAAGGAAACAUUCCAGGGACAUGAGAAACGUUCUUUUCUUGUCAUGUGGAAGAAACAGGACGUCAGGUGGGGCAGGAGCUUCUUGUCCAGCAGCUGUGGGCGUUGGGAGGCAAAGUUGCUCUGCCCCCGCUGAACACUGUGACAUGUUCGUUCCUCGAGGAGAUCAGUCAUGAUUCCUUAAUUGGGAUGAAUGUGGGACUGGGGGAGAGGCUGGUGGCACGAUCUAUCAAUUUUACCAGUGAAAAAUGAUAGGAAGUGGCAUCCCCCCAUCUGGCAGGCUCCCAGCCUCCUCCACUGCACACCUCAUUAUCCCGUUCCACUGCUUCAUCUCCAUAACAUUCAUCCCUAAUGAUGGCGGAGGGAUAUUCAUUUUCCGGAGUGUUCCUUGAUGAUUACCAGCCCAGCCCCGGUUCCCUCUGCAAUGGCAACGGGGAAUGUUUCCAGUAUCACGGCUUGCUCGAUCUGGACUGAUGGGUACAAAGCUGAGGGUGAAGGAUGUCCAGACUUAGGGCCCUGCUUGGUGUUCGUAAUAUUUCAGAUUCAGCCUUUCCAUCGGUGUUUCUGGCCAGAUUCCCGUUUCCUUAGCUCCAGGAGAAGCUUUAGUAGGAAAAAGAUGCUCAGACCUGCCAGGGAGUCGUAGAGCUGAGCUGUGGGUUAGGCAGAGAGCUGGGAGGUGCAAUACAGUGGGCAAAGCUGUGGGCAGAGUGCGCUGUAAAACUGCUUCUCACCUCCCCGGGGAGCCUCACGCAGCAUCUCAGGGCAGCCCCUGACACUGUGGGGUGUCCUUGUGGAUCUCCUUCUCUCCCCAGACUUUCCCAUUUGUUCCCCAGGCCUUUCCCAUUAGUAUGAGCCCCACGGGCUGGACACUGUCCGUGAGUCCCCGGCCAGCGAGAGGUGCCAAUCACAGCUCCCGUGUCCACCAACUCAAGUAAUCUCUUCGAAGGCUUCCAACAAGUUAAUAAGGAUUGAUCUGCUUCUCAUCAGAUCAUCUUGGCUGUUCUUAAUGAACCUGGGCAUUUUCAAGCCUUUCUUCCUCCUUAUAAAUGAGCUUCCAAAUAAAUACUCUUCUCCCAGUCGAUGGGCAGCUGAUUCCCUCCACAUUCCCCCAGCAUUAGGGUUUGGAUUGAAGGCGGCACCGCUCCGGCUUUGUGGUGGUCAUGUGUGCUGGUUCUGGAGGGAAGCUUAAGUUAAAGCAAAUCUUAUCUUUGGUUUUAAAUAAAGAUGGAUUUAAUUACAAUUAACUGUCUCACUGAGUGGUGGUUUGAGAAAGCCGGCUCAGCCCUGAUUUUUCUAUCUAAGAUUCAGUUGUAAGCCCUCAGAAAACACCCACAUUUUAAUUCUCUCCUAGACAGGCUAAGCCUUGAAUAGUAAAAAUAAAGGUGGGAAGAGCAGUUCAAGAGGAGCCCUCAGAGCAAUGAAAACUAGUGACUUUUCUGUCCAAAAAAAUACUGCCUUAGGCAGCUGGGAUAAUCCACCCUGCUGUCUGUAGCAUCGACAGGAGAGAGUUGUCAGAGUAAUGGGGUCUUUGAGAGAUCACUGAUGGUUCUGGUGUAAAUGUCCACCUGCUGCUGGAACUCUGUGUUCCCUGUCUUACCCGUUUUCAGGGAAUCCAUGGGACUGAAGUCCUGCCCUGUCAUUGCUUCCCCUGUUUGGUAAAUCCCUCGUGCACAUGUUGCCAUCUGGUCCCUAAUGCUUUGUGUCAGUUUAAGUUCCCCUAAGCUCUUAUUGACCAUUUCUUGUGUUAUCUGCACAUUCCCUAAUUCCUCUUCUCCUCUCCCCGGGGAUCUGAUCCCUGACUUAGGCAAAUCCUCAUCCUCUUCAUUUGUGAACACAGAUGCAAAAGUAAAUAUUGUAAGUGUCAGUGUCAGCUUCUUAUCCUCUCCUGCCUCCAAUUUCCCUCUGUCAGUCUUAUCUGUGCUGGAUCCACUUAUCUCCUGUGUCUGUAUAAUGGUCUUUUCCUUCUGUGUUUUUGUAAAAGCCGGGAGAUUCUCAUUGUUAACUGUCGUUUCUCCUUUAAUUAUAUCCCUGUGUGUUUACCUUCCCCAACCCAUGCCCCUGCUUCUAACACAUCCCCACUUCUAAGCAGGCGAGUUUUCUUUGUACCUGACUUUGAUUAAAGAUCGGAACGUCACAAAAUCCCCUGUUCUGGAAACUCAGAACCCGGGGCUGUUUGAAGCUGAGCCUGAAUUCUGUGUGGAGCCAGCGCUGCUGCCUCUGCUCUGGGUGCUGCUGUG